UACGUAGGGGGCAAGCGUUUGUCCGGAUUUAUUGGGCGUAAAGAGCGUGUAGGCGGUUUGGUAGGUCCGCUGUGAAAACUCGAGGCUCAACCUCGAGACGCCGGUGGAAACCAUCAGACUAGAGUCCGGAAGAGGAGAGUGGAAUUCCUGGUGUAGCGGUGAAAUGCGCAGAUAUCAGGAAGAACACCCGUGGCUAAGGCGGCUCCCUAGUACGGUACUGGACG
RNAcentral lists this ribosomal RNA (224 nucleotides) under uncultured bacterium. RNAcentral describes it as "partial 16S ribosomal RNA". It matches the Rfam family "Bacterial small subunit ribosomal RNA", at positions 524 to 745 of the family's 1533-position model. The record is from RNAcentral.